Molecule: ribosomal RNA, 515 nt
Filed under: uncultured bacterium
Lineage: Bacteria
Description: bacterial SSU rRNA
Rfam family: Bacterial small subunit ribosomal RNA
Source: RNAcentral
GAGUUUGAUCCUGGCUCAGGAUGAACGCUGGCGGCGUGCCUAACACGUGCAAGUCGAACGAAGCGCCUUUUAAGAUUCUUCGGAUGAUUGAUUGGUGACUGAGUGGCGGACGGGUGAGUAACGCGUGGGUAACCUGCCCUGUACAGGGGGAUAACAGCUGGAAACGGCUGCUAAUACCGCAUAAGCGCACGAGGAGACAUCUCCUUGUGUGAAAAACUCCGGUGGUACAGGAUGGGCCCGCGUCUGAUUAGCUGGUUGGCAGGGUAACGGCCUACCAAGGCAACGAUCAGUAGCCGGUCUGAGAGGAUGAACGGCCACACUGGAACUGAGACACGGCCCAGACUCCUACGGGAGGCAGCAGUGGGGGAUAUUGCACAAUGGGGGAAACCCUGAUGCAGCGACGCCGCGUGGAGGAAGAAGGUUUUCGGAUUGUAAACUCCUGUCGUUAGGGACGAUAAUGACGGUACCUAACAAGAAAGCACCGGCUAACUACGUGCCAGCCGCCGCGGUAAUUC